This 938-nucleotide long non-coding RNA is filed under the name Chloebia gouldiae (Gouldian finch). RNAcentral's name for it is "Erythrura gouldiae (Gouldian finch) lncRNA (ENSEGOG00005007799.1)". The record is from RNAcentral. Lineage: Eukaryota; Metazoa; Chordata; Aves; Passeriformes; Passeridae.
CACUUAUUCUUCAAUCAUCAACCAGGAGCGACAGAGGUUUCGGGUGAGAUUUCCUUCACAUUUCUGGAGCUUCUUAUUAAAACUUUGAAAGUGCAAAUCGGCACCAGUCCACAGGAGAGCCCACACAGCUGCAAGGAGUCUCCUCUCUCCCCCAUCCAGAGGGAGCUGGAGCGCUGCUCUGCUGGAGAAGCAGUCCCUGCUGCCAUCCAGAGCAGAGCCCUGGAGGCUUUGGCUCUUUGUCCCUGCUCUGGAAGAAGCAAGGAAGGUGGCUGCCUGGUUUCUGAGCAUCACCACAACCAGGCCUGGAGGAGGAGGAGCCCUGUGCAGCAUCCCUGGAGGAAGAGGAACACUACAGCGUCCUUGGAAGGAGGGGAGCCCUGUGCAGCAUCCCUGGAAGUGACAACCUUUGCCAAAGCUUGCAGCCCACCACAUUGCACACAAGAUCUCACAGCCACCUCUGUGCUUCGCCAAGGCUUUUGCUGCCCAGCAGAAAGAACAAGGCUCUUCUCUCAUCCAAGCUGAGGCUGUUUCCCAGGCUGCUUGCCCUGAACACCUCCACCUCUGCCCUUUGCCAGCGACCCCUCUCCUUGGCCCAUGGAGCCCGUGGAUCUGCAAGCUCAGGGGAAGGAUAAGGAAAGGCUCACGACAGAAUGGCCCUUCGUGGAGCGCUCGAGCUGGAGAAAUAAGGUUAAAGGCUCUUAUCUGAUGGAGCUGCAGCCUUGCCAAAGCCUGUUGCUAUCAGCUCGGGACACAUGUGCUAUUGGCAAAGCUUCGGGGACACAAUAAUACAAACAGUUUUCAUUGUCGAGUCAACAAUGAUGGGAGAAGGAGCCUGGUGCUAUUACCGGUAUAAAAGGCACUGUAGGAAAGCUCAGGACAGGAGGAUGCAGUCGGGAUCAACAGCAGGGUUUAGCAGAUUACAGUUAUAUUUGUAUUCG